Molecule: transfer RNA, 78 nt
Filed under: Echinostoma caproni
Lineage: Eukaryota; Metazoa; Platyhelminthes; Trematoda; Plagiorchiida; Echinostomatidae
Rfam family: tRNA
About the family: Transfer RNA (tRNA) molecules are approximately 80 nucleotides in length. Their secondary structure includes four short double-helical elements and three loops (D, anti-codon, and T loops). Further hydrogen bonds mediate the characteristic L-shaped molecular structure. tRNAs have two regions of fundamental functional importance: the anti-codon, which is responsible for specific mRNA codon recognition, and the 3' end, to which the tRNAs corresponding amino acid is attached (by aminoacyl-tRNA synthetases). tRNAs cope with the degeneracy of the genetic code in two manners: having more than one tRNA (with a specific anti-codon) for a particular amino acid; and 'wobble' base-pairing, i.e. permitting non-standard base-pairing at the 3rd anti-codon position.
Source: Rfam by way of RNAcentral
GGCCUCGUAGCUCAGCUGGUAGAGCGCGUACAAAGCGUAGGCGGUGUCCAUGCGUGGGUUCGAAUCCCACCAAGGCUA